Molecule: ribosomal RNA, 429 nt
Filed under: Acidobacteriota bacterium
Lineage: Bacteria; Pseudomonadati; Acidobacteriota
Description: Acidobacteria bacterium partial 16S ribosomal RNA
Rfam family: Bacterial small subunit ribosomal RNA
Source: RNAcentral
UGGGGAAUUUUGGACAAUGGGGGAAACCCUGAUCCAGCCAUCCCGCGUGUGCGAUGAAGGGCUUCGGGUUGUAAAGCACUUUUGGCAGGAAAGAAACGUCAUGGGUUAAUACCCCGUGAAACUGACGGUACCUGCAGAAUAAGCACCGGCUAACUACGUGCCAGCAGCCGCGGUAAUACGUAGGGUGCAAGCGUUAAUCGGAAUUACUGGGCGUAAAGCGUGCGCAGGCGGUUCGGAAAGAAAGAUGUGAAAUCCCAGAGCUCAACUUUGGAACUGCAUUUUUAACUACCGGGCUAGAGUGUGUCAGAGGGAGGUGGAAUUCCGCGUGUAGCAGUGAAAUGCGUAGAUAUGCGGAGGAACACCGAUGGCGAAGGCAGCCUCCUGGGAUAACACUGACGCUCAUGCACGAAAGCGUGGGGAGCAAACAGG